AACGAACGCUGGCGGCAUGCCUAACACAUGCAAGUCGAACGAGAUCUUCGGGUCUAGUGGCGCACGGGUGCGUAACGCGUGGGAAUCUGCCCUUUGGUUCGGAAUAACAGUUGGAAACGACUGCUAAUACCGGAUGAUGACGAAAGUCCAAAGACUUAUCGCCAGAGGAUGAGCCCGCGUAGGAUUAGCUAGUUGGUGUGGUAAAGGCGCACCAAGGCGACGAUCCUUAGCUGGUCUGAGAGGAUGAUCAGCCACACUGGGACUGAGACACGGCCCAGACUCCUACGGGAGGCAGCAGUGGGGAAUAUUGGACAAUGGGCGGAAGCCUGAUCCAGCAAUGUCGCGUGAGUGAUGAAGGCCUUAGGGUUGUAAAGCUCUUUUACCCGGGAUGAUAAUGACAGUACCGGGAGAAUAAGCUCCGGCUAACUCCGUGCCAGCCGCCGCGGUAA
This 449-nucleotide ribosomal RNA is filed under the name uncultured bacterium. RNAcentral's name for it is "partial 16S ribosomal RNA". It matches the Rfam family "Bacterial small subunit ribosomal RNA", at positions 29 to 523 of the family's 1533-position model. The record is from RNAcentral.